This 481-nucleotide ribosomal RNA is filed under the name uncultured bacterium. Its description in RNAcentral is "partial 16S ribosomal RNA". It matches the Rfam family "Bacterial small subunit ribosomal RNA", at positions 28 to 507 of the family's 1533-position model. The record is from RNAcentral.
GAUGAACGCUAGCGGCAGGCCUAAUACAUGCAAGUCGGACGGGAUUCAGGAGCUUGCUUCUGAUGAGAGUGGCGCACGGGUGCGUAACACGUAUGUAACCUACCUUUAUCAGGGGGAUAGCCUCUCGAAAGAGAGAUUAAGCCCGCAUAAAAUCACAGCACAGCAUUGUGUAAUGAUCAAAUAUUUAUAGGAUAAAGAUGGGCAUGCGGAACAUUAGCUAGAUGGCGGGGUAACGGCCCACCAUGGCGACGAUGUUUAGGGGAUCUGAGAGGAUGGCCCCCACACUGGUACUGAGACACGGACCAGACUCCUACGGGAGGCAGCAGUAAGGAAUAUUGGUCAAUGGGCGGAAGCCUGAACCAGCCAUGCCGCGUGCAGGAAGACGGCCCUACGGGUUGUAAACUGCUUUUAUACGGGAAUAAACCCAGAUACGUGUAUCUGGCUGAAUGUACUGUAAGAAUAAGGAUCGGCUAACUCCGUG